CAAAUACAUCUAGUUGAUGGAGAUGAGUUCGUUUGUGAUAUUUUAUUUAUUACAAAGAGAUAAGGGGGGCUGAUGGUUGCCGACAAAAAAAGAGGAGGGAUGAAAGGUUAAGAAAGAAAACGAAAAAGAAAGGGAGUGGAGAAAGAAGAGGCGGAGGGAUCAGAUCAAAAAAA
Molecule: long non-coding RNA, 173 nt
Organism: Rosa chinensis
Lineage: Eukaryota; Viridiplantae; Streptophyta; Magnoliopsida; Rosales; Rosaceae
Exons: 2
Source: RefSeq, a predicted model, not a curated record